RNAcentral lists this ribosomal RNA (20 nucleotides) under uncultured bacterium. RNAcentral describes it as "partial 23S ribosomal RNA". The record is from RNAcentral.
ACGGGUUAAUGAUCAAGUAU